Molecule: long non-coding RNA, 647 nt
Filed under: Equus asinus (donkey)
Lineage: Eukaryota; Metazoa; Chordata; Mammalia; Perissodactyla; Equidae
Description: lncRNA (ENSEASG00005036085.1)
Source: RNAcentral
GCCAGGAAGCUGACCGGAGACUGGCGUACAGGAGGGGUUUCUGGAGAUGUGCUCCUGGGAGCAACACUCGCAGGGAGCAGCCUGCAGCAGAGGGGGAAACGAACUGUGGUGUCGCAGUGCAGCAGCCAUGCUGGGGUGCGACAGAGGCCUCAGCUGAUGCCACUGGGAGCUCUGGAGUUAGCUUGGCCCUUCAGAGUUGUCCCCAGCUGAGGGAAAGGGGCCAGACCUUUGGACUCCCGAAUCAACCAGUCACUGAGCAGAGGAUGCCCCUGCGAGGGGGUGUGACCUUGGGAUUCUACUGGGCCUGGGGAACUUUGAGAAGAGGAUUAAUGGACAGACUGCAACCCCCAGCCCUGCAGCUGAUCUCAGGGCACAACUUAAACUGAGGGAAGACGACAGAGAAGGAAGAACAGGGCAGAAUGCCAUUUGACCAAAGGCGUCCUCAGCAUAGUCUGGGGCUCCUUCAGGAAGAGGGCCCUUUCCAGUUCUGGUGGCCUCCAGGAGUCUCUACACUUCCCUACAGACUUGGCCAGCUUCACUCACUAGGUCAACCCUGAGCUGAAAACAAAAAAAAAGAGAAAUGAAAGCAGAAGAGGGAGCUCACAUUCUUUUCCUGGGUGAUACAGCACUUUUUUUUUUUUUUUUUU